GCACUCCUAGCUCAAUUGGAUAGAGCAUCUGACUACGGAUCAGAAGGUUAGGGGUUCGACUCCCUUGGAGUGCACAA
Molecule: transfer RNA, 77 nt
Filed under: Sphingobacterium wenxiniae
Lineage: Bacteria; Pseudomonadati; Bacteroidota; Sphingobacteriia; Sphingobacteriales; Sphingobacteriaceae
Description: tRNA_Arg_ACG
Rfam family: tRNA
About the family: Transfer RNA (tRNA) molecules are approximately 80 nucleotides in length.
Source: RNAcentral